CCGUUUGAUAGAAAAUGGCUGCAUUUUUUUUUAACUUUGCAGUUAUAGAUACGAAGAAAGCUUUAAACCACCAGAGGGCAUUGCAGUCAGCUUCUUCUUAUAAAUCAUUAUAAAUCACUGCUGUCAGUGAUGUCUAGUGAAAUUUGUUCCCAAUUCAACCAGAAAAAGAAGCAUUUUUAGGCCGGGUGCUGUGGCUCACACCUGUAAUCCCAGCACUUUGGGAGGCCGAGGCAGGCGGAUCACGAGGUCGGGAGUUCGAGACCAGCCUGACCAACAUGGUGAAACCCCAUCUCUACUAAAAAUACAAAAAUUAGCCAGGCGUUGGGGUGUGCGCCUGUAAUCCCAGCUACUCAGGAAGCUGAGGCAGGAGAAUCGCUUGAACCUGGGAGGCGGAGGUUGCAGUGAGCCAAGAUCACACCACUGCACUCUAGCCUGGGCAACAGAACAAGACUCUGUCUCAAAAAAAAAAAAAAAGGAAGCAUUUUUAGAUCUGAUAAACAAUCUGAAUAGGAGCUGUGACUUGAACUUAGUGGAACAGUACCCUGAAGCACCUUUUUAUAUGUAUUAAAGUGAAGAGUGGAGUUGGUAGUACUUUGUUGAAAUUAUAUUCUUUUACUUUUUUCUUUCCCCAAGCAUAUGUCCAAACUUUUAAUUUGUCAUCUAUCAUUUAUCACCUUUUUUGGCCAGAGAAUGAAGCCAGUACUUCUCCAUAUCAACAGGUAUCGAAGUGUGAGACACAAAAGUUACAGUUUUUGACCAGUAGCAUCCACCUCUUUAUGGCCUUUAUUGGAGUUAACAGAAACUUGCAAAAUUAGGCGGCUGGGCACACUGGCUCACGCCUGUGAUCCCAGCAAUUUGGGAGACCAAGGCAGAGAGAUCACUUAAGCUCAAGAGUUCAAGACAAGCCUAGGCAACAUGGCAAGACCCUGCCUCUACAAAAAAUACAAAAAUUAGCCGGGCAUGGUGCUGUGUGCCUGUGGUCUCAGCUAGUUGGGGGGCUGAGGCAGGAGGAUUGCUCGAGCCCCAGAGGCCAAGGCUGCAGUGAGCUGAGAGCACACCUCUGCAAUCCAGCCUGGGCAGCAAAGUGAGAUCCUGCCUCAAAAAAAAAAAAAAA
RNAcentral lists this long non-coding RNA (1114 nucleotides) under Macaca fascicularis (crab-eating macaque). RNAcentral's name for it is "lncRNA (ENSMFAG00000055063.1)". The record is from RNAcentral. Lineage: Eukaryota; Metazoa; Chordata; Mammalia; Primates; Cercopithecidae.